CCUACGGGAGGCAGCAGUAGGGAAUAUUGCUCAAUGGGGGAAACCCUGAAGCAGCAACGCCGCGUGGAGGAUGAAGGUUUUCGGAUUGUAAACUCCUUUUGUUAGAGAAGAUAAUGACGGUAUCUAACGAAUAAGCACCGGCUAACUCCGUGCCAGCAGCCGCGGUAAUACGGAGGGUGCAAGCGUUACUCGGAAACACUGGGCGUAAGGAGCGCGUAGGCGGGAUAGCAAGUCAGAUGUGAAAUCCUAUGGCUUAACCAUAGAACUGCAUUUGAAACUGUUAUUCUAGAGUAUGGGAGAGGUAGGUGGAAUUCUUGGUGUAGGGGUAAAAUCCGUAGAGAUCAAGAGGAAUACUCAUUGCGAAGGCGACCUGCUAGAACAUAACUGACGCUGAUGCGCGAAAGCGUGGGGAGCAAACAGGAUUAGAUACCCCAGUAGUC
Molecule: ribosomal RNA, 440 nt
Filed under: uncultured bacterium
Lineage: Bacteria
Description: partial 16S ribosomal RNA
Rfam family: Bacterial small subunit ribosomal RNA
Source: RNAcentral